RNAcentral lists this ribosomal RNA (658 nucleotides) under uncultured bacterium. RNAcentral describes it as "bacterial SSU rRNA". It matches the Rfam family "Bacterial small subunit ribosomal RNA", at positions 187 to 848 of the family's 1533-position model. The record is from RNAcentral.
GCAUGUUCACAUGAUUAAAGGUAUUCCGGUAGACGAUGGGGAUGCGUUCCAUUAGAUAGUAGGCGGGGUAACGGCCCACCUAGUCUUCGAUGGAUAGGGGUUCUGAGAGGAAGGUCCCCCACAUUGGAACUGAGACACGGUCCAAACUCCUACGGGAGGCAGCAGUGAGGAAUAUUGGUCAAUGGGCGAGAGCCUGAACCAGCCAAGUAGCGUGAAGGGUGACUGCCCUAUGGGUUGUAAACUUCUUUUAUAAAGGAAUAAAGUCGGGUAUGCAUACCUGUUUGCAUGUACUUUAUGAAUAAGGAUCGGCUAACUCCGUGCCAGCAGCCGCGGUAAUACGGAGGAUCCGAGCGUUAUCCGGAUUUAUUGGGUUUAAAGGGAGCGUAGAUGGAUGUUUAAGUCAGUUGUGAAAGUUUGCGGCUCAACCGUAAAAUUGCAGUUGAUACUGGAUAUCUUGAGUGCAGUUGAGGCAGGCGGAAUUCGUGGUGUAGCGGUGAAAUGCUUAGAUAUCACGAAGAACUCCGAUUGCGAAGGCAGCCUGCUAAGCUGCAACUGACAUUGAGGCUCGAAAGUGUGGGUAUCAAACAGGAUUAGAUACCCUGGUAGUCCACACGGUAAACAAUGAAUACUCGCUGUUUGCGAUAUACAGCAAGCGGCC